CUCCUACGGGAGGCAGCAGUGGGGAAUAUUGCACAAUGGGGGAAACCCUGAUGCAGCGACGCCGCGUGGAGGAAGAAGGUCUUCGGAUUGUAAACUCCUGUUGUUGAGGAAGAUAAUGACGGUACUCAACAAGGAAGUGACGGCUAACUACGUGCCAGCAGCCGCGGUAAAACGUAGGUCACAAGCGUUGUCCGGAAUUACUGGGUGUAAAGGGAGCGCAGGCGGGAGAACAAGUUGGAAGUGAAAUCCAUGGGCUCAACCCAUGAACUGCUUUCAAAACUGUUUUUCUUGAGUAGUGCAGAGGUAGGCGGAAUUCCCGGUGUAGCGGUGGAAUGCGUAGAUAUCGGGAGGAACACCAGUGGCGAAGGCGGCCUACUGGGCACCAACUGACGCUGAGGCUCGAAAGUGUGGGUAGCAAACAGGAUUAGAUACCCUGGUAGUCCACACCGUAAACGAUGAUUACUAGGUGUUGGAGGAUUGACCCCUUCAGUGCCGCAGUUAACACAAUAAGUAAUCCACCUGGGGAGUACGACCGCAAGGUUGAAACUCAAAGGAAUUGACGGGGGCCCGCACAAGCAGUGGAGUAUGUGGUUUAAUUCGACGCAACGCGAAGAACCUUACCAAGUCUUGACAUCCCUUGACGAUGCUGGAAACAGCAUUUCUCUUCGGAGCAAGGAGACAGGUGGUGCAUGGUUGUCGUCAGCUCGUGUCGUGAGAUGUUGGGUUAAGUCCCGCAACGAGCGCAACCCUUAUGGUCAGUUACUACGCAAGAGGACUCUGGCCAGACUGCCGUUGACAAAACGGAGGAAGGUGGGGAUGACGUCAAAUCAUCAUGCCCUUUAUGACUUGGGCUACACACGUACUACAAUGGCGUUAAACAAAGAGAAGCAAGACCGCGAGGUGGAGCAAAACUCAGAAACAACGUCCCAGUUCGGACUGCAGGCUGCAACUCGCCUGCACGAAGUCGGAAUUGCUAGUAAUCGUGGAUCAUGCAUGCCACGGUGAAUACGUUCCCGGGCCUUGUACACACCGC
RNAcentral lists this ribosomal RNA (1033 nucleotides) under uncultured bacterium. RNAcentral describes it as "bacterial SSU rRNA". It matches the Rfam family "Bacterial small subunit ribosomal RNA", at positions 336 to 1393 of the family's 1533-position model. The record is from RNAcentral.